This 482-nucleotide ribosomal RNA is filed under the name uncultured bacterium. RNAcentral's name for it is "partial 16S ribosomal RNA". It matches the Rfam family "Bacterial small subunit ribosomal RNA", at positions 30 to 507 of the family's 1533-position model. The record is from RNAcentral.
AUUGAACGCUGGCGGCAUGCCUUACACAUGCAAGUCGAACGGUAACGGGCCUUCGGGUGCCGACGAGUGGCGAACGGGUGAGUAAUACAUCGGAACGUGCCCGAUCGUGGGGGAUAACGAGGCGAAAGCUUUGCUAAUACCGCAUACGAUCUACUGAUGAAAGCAGGGGACCGCAAGGCCUUGCGCGGACGGAGCGGCCGAUGUCAGAUUAGGUAGUUGGUGGGAUAAAAGCUUACCAAGCCGACGAUCUGUAGCUGGUCUGAGAGGAUGAUCAGCCACACUGGGACUGAGACACGGCCCAGACUCCUACGGGAGGCAGCAGUGGGGAAUUUUGGACAAUGGGCGCAAGCCUGAUCCAGCCAUGCCGCGUGCAGGAUGAAGGCCUUCGGGUUGUAAACUGCUUUUGUACGGAACGAAAAGCCUUCUUUUAAUACAGGAGGGUCAUGACGGUACCGUAAGAAUAAGCACCGGCUAACUACGUG